GAUAACGUUGUGUUGGAUUGAUGUUGCACCCAAGUUAAUGACCUAGCCGCCAUUCUAUAGCGCCAUCUGGUUCAAGGUGGCAACCAGGCUCGCCUGGUGCCAGGUUGGUGCCUGAGGGGGCACUCGAACGGGGGUGUAGGCAGCGUGGGCUUGCGAAGGGGGGCCGAGGAGGCUAGGGGCGCCAUGCACCAGCCCCCACCACCCCGACCACCGGCCGGCUGAGAACCCGGAGUGUUGUAGGAGCUAGCCCCCAAACCAAAGUAGAACCAUGGGCCGGUGGGCCGUGGGGGCCCGCCACUGUGGAAGCCGCCAUCGCUAGGGGGCGCCUGGAAGCCACCGCCACCCUUCUUGUAUUGCCACUUCUUCUUGCUAUCGCAGCCACCGCUACUGGUGCUGCCACUGCUGCUAAUCUAGAAAGAACUAGACAACGGGUGACACCCGCCCGUACAACUAGAGGAUGAAGACAACAAAGAGUUCCUGGCUAGAAGGGUAGUGGAGUUGGAGAUAUUCUCCUCGUGGGCGAGGCGAAGUUCCUUCAGAGUGAGCAUGCCCUGUGCUUGG
Molecule: long non-coding RNA, 561 nt
Filed under: Setaria viridis
Lineage: Eukaryota; Viridiplantae; Streptophyta; Magnoliopsida; Poales; Poaceae
Description: long non-coding RNA (SVIR_LNC001722)
Source: RNAcentral